RNAcentral lists this non-coding RNA (85 nucleotides) under Astrosyne radiata. The record is from RNAcentral. Lineage: Eukaryota; Bacillariophyta; Fragilariophyceae; Cyclophorales; Cyclophoraceae.
CCUCGGAUGAUGAUGAGAUUUUAUUUGGAAGUGGUUCGGGACAUCACCAUCACCAACAACAACAACUCUACUCUUCUUCGGGUCA